CGGAGGAUCCAAGCGUUAUCCGGAAUCAUUGGGUUUAAAGGGUCCGUAGGCGGUUUAGUAAGUCAGUGGUGAAAGCCCAUCGCUCAACGGUGGAACGGCCAUUGAUACUGCUAGACUUGAAUUAUUAGGAAGUAACUAGAAUAUGUAGUGUAGCGGUGAAAUGCUUAGAGAUUACAUGGAAUACCAAUUGCGAAGGCAGGUUACUACUAAUUGAUUGACGCUGAUGGACGAAAGCGUGGGUAGCGAACAGGAUUAGAUACCCUGGUAGUCCACGCCGUAAACGAUGGAUACUAGCUGUUGGGAGCGAUCUCAGUGGCUAAGCGAAAGUGAUAAGUAUCCCACCUGGGGAUACGUUCGCAAGAAUG
RNAcentral lists this ribosomal RNA (365 nucleotides) under uncultured organism. Its description in RNAcentral is "bacterial SSU rRNA". It matches the Rfam family "Bacterial small subunit ribosomal RNA", at positions 526 to 896 of the family's 1533-position model. The record is from RNAcentral.